Molecule: ribosomal RNA, 425 nt
Filed under: uncultured bacterium
Lineage: Bacteria
Description: partial 16S ribosomal RNA
Rfam family: Bacterial small subunit ribosomal RNA
Source: RNAcentral
GUGGGGAAUAUUGCACAAUGGGCGAAAGCCUGAUGCAGCGACGCCGCGUGAAGGAAGAAGUAUCUCGGUAUGUAAACUUCUAUCAGCAGGGAAGAUAAUGACGGUACCUGACUAAGAAGCACCGGCUAAAUACGUGCCAGCAGCCGCGGUAAUACGUAUGGUGCAAGCGUUAUCCGGAUUUACUGGGUGUAAAGGGAGCGCAGGCGGAAGGCUAAGUCUGAUGUGAAAGCCCGGGGCUCAACCCCGGUACUGCAUUGGAAACUGGUCAUCUAGAGUGUCGGAGGGGUAAGUGGAAUUCCUAGUGUAGCGGUGAAAUGCGUAGAUAUUAGGAGGAACACCAGUGGCGAAGGCGGCUUACUGGACGAUAACUGACGCUGAGGCUCGAAAGCGUGGGGAGCAAACAGGAUUAGAAACCCUGGUAGUCC